GAUCAUGGCUCAGGAUGAACGCUGGCGGCGUGCUUAACACAUGCAAGUCGAACGGACUUUACAUGAAGCCUAGCGAUUGUAAAGUUAGUGGCGGACGGGUGAGUAACGCGUGAAUAACCUGCCCUGUACCGGGGGACGAACAGUUGGAAACGGCUGCUAAUACCGCAUAAGCGCACGGUUCCGCAUGGAACAGUGUGAAAAACUCCGGUGGUACAGGAUGGAUUCGCGUCUGAUUAGCCAGUUGGG
This 246-nucleotide ribosomal RNA is filed under the name uncultured bacterium. RNAcentral's name for it is "partial 16S ribosomal RNA". It matches the Rfam family "Bacterial small subunit ribosomal RNA", at positions 15 to 253 of the family's 1533-position model. The record is from RNAcentral.